Molecule: long non-coding RNA, 1467 nt
Organism: Cydia pomonella (codling moth)
Lineage: Eukaryota; Metazoa; Arthropoda; Insecta; Lepidoptera; Tortricidae
Exons: 3
Source: RefSeq, a predicted model, not a curated record
UUAUGGAGAAAGAAUUACCGUGGAAGCUAUGGUGUUGAUUUGAAUCGAAAUUUUGGUGUCGCAUUCGGAAGUAAGUUUCAUUUACGAUUGACUGAAAGACUUAAGCCUAUAGUAAAAUUACUUUGUAAUCCCAUGUGAUCCUCUAAGCUCAAUAGUGCAAUCCCAGUGAAGUGUAAAUAUUAAGUUUUUUUUUUAAAUAUAGGUAUUGUAUCUUGAUUCGCUAUUUUAUAAAUGUCUAAUCAGAGUUUGGCGCAACCAAAGAAAAUAAACAAGAUGAAGAGUUUUGUGGUGAAGUACCUUUCUCUGAACCAGAAUCAUCGGCACUGGCAGCAUUUGUAAGGGACCAUAGCGAUUUGCUGGAGUAUUAUAUAUCUUUUCAUUCAUACGGACAGUAUAUUGUCAUCCCUUACGCAUUUGAAAAAGAACAUAUGGAUAAUUAUGACACAGUGAAAAUGUAUGCUGAUAUGAUAGCAAAACGAUCAUCACAAAAACAUAAUAUUCAUUAUCACGUAGGAACUGCUUAUGAUACAGUGGGCAAGUAUUUUUACAAUAUUUUUCCUGGUGUUUGUGCAAGAUAAAUUUGACCCACUUUUCGGUAUCCUAUUGAUCUUAAAUUUGGUAUAUCUACGUACGUUUAGUUUGUUAAGCAAGCUAGCAAAUUUUUUGACCAUUAAACUCAUCUGAAGGUGCAAACCGAAGGAGGGUCCAUCGAAUCUAGACUCGAUAUAAUAAUCUCUUGUAAAUAGUAGAAACUAAAGAAAAGUAUAUAAUUGGUGAGGUAAUUACUAUCUUUUUAUAUACUUACCUACAUAAUAAAUAAAAGUGAAUUUUUGUAAGCUAAAUAUUAGAACAGGUAUAUACACUUAAAUGUGUGGGCAAAAAUGAGUCAAGGUAUAAAAAAUAACACUGAUUGAAAUAGGUAUUAGGAUGUACCUACUGCUAUAUUCGAAGUAUUUUUAUUUAAAAAAUACUUACAUAUACUUAUCAUACCUGCCUCUCAAUAAAUUACAUUUACAUAAUAAUUUCUCAAAAACUACCCACAAAAAUUGUAUCAUUUAAAAUCUACUAUUAUUUUCAAUUGCAUGAUACAAUUUGUGUUGGGUAGUUUAAAAAAAAAUAUCGGGAUUAUGUCAGAAACGCCUGGUAACUCUAUAAUAUCGUUUUUUUUUCAGGCUACUUAGCCUCAGGCACAAGUUCUGACUGGGUGAAAAAAUCCAUAAAUGUCCCUUACACAAUAACUAUCGAGCUUCCCGAUCAGGGUUACUACGGGUUCACGUUACCCAAAGAGCAUAUCUUGCCCACGUGUGAGGCGACAAUGGACGCUUUACUUCCUUUCCUGGCCCCGAAAAAUGACUCCAAGCUCCGAAUCCGAUGGAACCCGGUCCAAAGUGGAGCUAAACGACACAAGAGCUUUAAGACCGUGUUUUUUAUAGCCUUGUCUGUAUUAUUUUGGUAGAUUUUUUGAAA